UCUUGAGAUAGGGGGGCGCGCAAGUACUAGCUGGGAAAGAGGGGUUGAUUCGGUUCUCCAGGAAGCUAGUCAUACUGAGAGCCUGCAGCGAGUGAUUUUCCAGCGGGACCUUGGAGCGGGGGGAAACAGGGGGCGCUGGAAGGACCGUGCCCAGCGGCACCCAGGCCGGAGACCUAGGCCACUGAGACUUCAGGCGCAGCUCCGUAGCCUGAAAAACGGGGCUUUGGAGCAACAAGGUGCCCAGACGCCCCCAGGCUCCUUGCUCCACUGCAAAGGACAGCCGGGGUCACACUGCCCCAGCUCGGUCCCAGCGCGCCGGCCACCUACGGGGCACGAAGCCGCACGUCUCUGCAAAGCCCCUUUGUCCCUCCUUCCCACUCUUCGGGCUUGGGGGUCACGAUGCCAACACCUAAUGGAUGUGUCAAGAUUUCGUAUCCAGUAUUUAUCUCAUACGUGACAUCUUGACUAUGCCAAUAAAAAAAGAAAAAGAGUCUUUGGAUGAACCUGCCUCCUCCAGCUAGCUUAACUCUUUCCUUCCUGGUACCCUUAAGACCAGAGAGUUGGAGACUUAAUAAAUCCAUCCUCUGAAAAGGACCGUGAAUCCA
Pteropus alecto (black flying fox) is the source of this 605-nucleotide long non-coding RNA. RefSeq lists it as uncharacterized. Lineage: Eukaryota; Metazoa; Chordata; Mammalia; Chiroptera; Pteropodidae. The record is from RefSeq and is a predicted model, not a curated record. The transcript has 2 exons.